This is a non-coding RNA of Ornithorhynchus anatinus (platypus), 138 nucleotides long. Lineage: Eukaryota; Metazoa; Chordata; Mammalia; Monotremata; Ornithorhynchidae. The record is from Rfam.
CCCCUCUCAGGGUCACACCUGGAGAAUUUACAGUACUCUACCAGUUUUGACUACAGGAGGGAGAGUCAGGCAGAGACCUAUCCAUUCCAUUCCUAGGUUGGGCAGUGACUAGUGAGUGAAAGACCAUCUGCUACAAGU